RNAcentral lists this ribosomal RNA (120 nucleotides) under Exserohilum turcica Et28A. The record is from RNAcentral. Lineage: Eukaryota; Fungi; Ascomycota; Dothideomycetes; Pleosporales; Pleosporaceae.
ACAUACGACCAUAGUCAAAGAAAUUUACAGGGUCUCGUUAGCUCCCCACACGUCAACUCUUUGAGCGGCUGCUUAGUAGUCAGGUGGGUGACCACUGGCGAAUCUCAGCUGUUGUAUGUU